GAGAUCCAUUUGCCAGGCUUGACCCAUAUUAAGUGCCACCGGUCACCGCCCAAACAGACAAAAACAUGAAAUUUGGGGGGGAGGAAGCCAAUUCUUGAGGGGUCUGAGCACCCGAGCUCUGAUCACCUUCAGUCAGCAUAGUUUGGGCUCAGCAGCUCAGUGCAUGAGCCAUGGGUCUGCCAGGGAAUAGUGCUUUAACAGAAACUAGGGGUGCUCCUCUUUGGCAUUUGCAGGAAAGAAAAAAAAGAGCAAUUCAUUCACAAAAAAGAAGCCAACCAUCAGUAAUCUGUAAGAAUCAGGCUAAGAUACAAUUGCAGGAGCAGCUGGACGGGGUGGGGAGGGCUGCCUGCACAGCGAUGGACUGAUACCCAGGCAGUCCUUGCCUCUCAGAAAGAGAAAAGUGCUGAGAAAGGGAACAGAACCUGAACUCACAGCCUCCUACACCAAAGUCAGCAGACUGUAUCCCUUUGUGCCAGCCAGCUUAAGGUCUUCGGUCAAAAAUGAAAGCACAAGAAUUUCCAGUGUGUUUAAUUAACAACCACAGGGAGCCUGGUACACAUCACAAAUGGAAUAAAAACAUAUUGAAAAUGGCA
RNAcentral lists this long non-coding RNA (593 nucleotides) under Numida meleagris (helmeted guineafowl). Its description in RNAcentral is "lncRNA (ENSNMEG00000010454.1)". The record is from RNAcentral. Lineage: Eukaryota; Metazoa; Chordata; Aves; Galliformes; Numididae.